Molecule: transfer RNA, 67 nt
Filed under: Gymnochthebius lividus
Lineage: Eukaryota; Metazoa; Arthropoda; Insecta; Coleoptera; Hydraenidae
Description: tRNA-Phe
Source: RNAcentral
AUUUAAAUAGCUUAUAAUAAGAGCAUGAUAUUGAAGUUAUCAAGGAAAUAUAAUAUAUUUUUAAAUA